This 1353-nucleotide ribosomal RNA is filed under the name uncultured bacterium. RNAcentral's name for it is "bacterial SSU rRNA". It matches the Rfam family "Bacterial small subunit ribosomal RNA", at positions 28 to 1387 of the family's 1533-position model. The record is from RNAcentral.
GAUGAACGCUGGCGGCGUGCCUAACACAUGCAAGUUGAACGAAGCUCCUGCGACAGAUUCCUUCGGGAUGAAGAUGCUUGAGACUUAGUGGCGGACGGGUGAGUAACGCGUGGGUAACCUGCCCUGUACUGGGGGACAACAGUUAGAAAUGACUGCUAAUACCGCAUAAGCCUACGGAGUCGUAUGACUCAGCAGGAAAAAUUCCGGUGGUACAGGAUGGGCCCGCGUCUGAUUAGCUAGUUGGUGAGGUAAUGGCUCACCAAGGCGACGAUCAGUAGCCGGCUUGAGAGAGUGAACGGCCACAUUGGGACUGAGACACGGCCCAAACUCCUACGGGAGGCAGCAGUGGGGAAUAUUGCACAAUGGGGGAAACCCUGAUGCAGCAACGCCGCGUGAGUGAAGAAGUAUUUCGGUAUGUAAAGCUCUAUCAGCAGGGAAGAAAAUGACGGUACCUGACUAAGAAGCACCGGCUAAAUACGUGCCAGCAGCCGCGGUAAUACGUAUGGUGCAAGCGUUAUCCGGAUUUACUGGGUGUAAAGGGAGCGCAGGCGGUCUGGCAAGUCUGAUGUGAAAAUCCGGGGCUCAACUCCGGAACUGCAUUGGAAACUGUCAGACUAGAGUGUCGGAGAGGUAAGUGGAAUUCCUAGUGUAGCGGUGAAAUGCGUAGAUAUUAGGAGGAACACCAGUGGCGAAGGCGGCUUACUGGACGAUAACUGACGCUGAGGCUCGAAAGUGUGGGUAGCAAACAGGAUUAGAUACCCUGGUAGUCCACACCGUAAACGAUGAUUACUAGGUGUUGGAGGAUUGACCCCUUCAGUGCCGCAGUUAACACAAUAAGUAAUCCACCUGGGGAGUACGACCGCAAGGUUGAAACUCAAAGGAAUUGACGGGGGCCCGCACAAGCAGUGGAGUAUGUGGUUUAAUUCGACGCAACGCGAAGAACCUUACCAAGUCUUGACAUCCUGCGACGAUGCUGGAAACAGUAUUUUCCUUCGGGACGCAGAGACAGGUGGUGCAUGGUUGUCGUCAGCUCGUGUCGUGAGAUGUUGGGUUAAGUCCCGCAACGAGCGCAACCCUUACUGUCAGUUACUACGCAAGAGGACUCUGGCAGGACUGCCGUUGACAAAACGGAGGAAGGUGGGGAUGACGUCAAAUCAUCAUGCCCUUUAUGACUUGGGCUACACACGUACUACAAUGGCGUUAAACAAAGAGAAGCAAGACCGCGAGGUGGAGCAAAACUCAGAAACAACGUCCCAGUUCGGACUGCAGGCUGCAACUCGCCUGCACGAAGUCGGAAUUGCUAGUAAUCGUGGAUCAGCAUGCCACGGUGAAUACGUUCCCGGGCCUUGCACU